This 634-nucleotide ribosomal RNA is filed under the name uncultured crenarchaeote. Its description in RNAcentral is "bacterial SSU rRNA". It matches the Rfam family "Archaeal small subunit ribosomal RNA", at positions 53 to 694 of the family's 1478-position model. The record is from RNAcentral. Lineage: Archaea; Thermoproteati; Thermoproteota.
GCGAGUCAUUGUAGUAAUACAAGGCAGACGGCUCAGUAACGCGUACUCACCUAACCUAUGGACGGGAAUAACCUCGGGAAACUGACCAUAAUGCCCGAUAGAACAUUAUACCUGGAAUGGUUUAUGUUCCAAAUGAUUUAUCGCCGUAGGAUGGGACUGCGCCCUAUCAGUUUGUUGGUGAGGUAAUGGCCCACCAAGACUAUUACAGGUACGGGCUCUGAGAGGAGUAGCCCGGAGAUGGGUACUGAGACACGGACCCAGGCCCUAUGGGGCGCAGCAGGCGAGAAAACUUUGCAAUGUGCGAAAGCACGACAAGGUUAAUCCGAGUGGUUUCUGCUAAAGGAACCUUUUGUCGGUCCUAGAAACACCGAUGAAUAAGGGGUGGGCAAGUUCUGGUGUCAGCCGCCGCGGUAAAACCAGCACCUCAAGUGGUCAGGAUGAUUAUUGGGCCUAAAGCAUCCGUAGCCGGCUCUGUUAGUUUUCGGUUAAAUCUGUACGCUCAACGUACAGGCUGCCGGGAAUACUGCAGAGCUAGGGAGUGGGAGAGGUAGACGGUACUCGGUAGGAAGGGGUAAAAUCCUUUGAUCUAUUGAUGACCACCUGUGGCGAAGGCGGUCUACCAGAACACGUCCGA